RNAcentral lists this ribosomal RNA (198 nucleotides) under uncultured bacterium. RNAcentral's name for it is "partial 16S ribosomal RNA". It matches the Rfam family "Bacterial small subunit ribosomal RNA", at positions 1303 to 1500 of the family's 1533-position model. The record is from RNAcentral.
GGCUGAAAUUCGCCUUCAUGAAGCCGGAAUUGCUAGUAAUGGCAGGUCAGCAUACUGCCGUGAAUACGUUCCCGGGCCUUGUACACACCGCCCGUCACACCAUGAGAGUUGGAAAUACCCGAAGCCUGUGAGCUAACCGUAAGGAGGCAGCAGUCGAAGGUAGAGUCAAUGAUUGGGGUGAAGUCGUAACAAGGUACC